RNAcentral lists this transfer RNA (74 nucleotides) under Sphaerodactylus townsendi. Its description in RNAcentral is "tRNA-Thr". It matches the Rfam family "tRNA". From Rfam's summary of the family: Transfer RNA (tRNA) molecules are approximately 80 nucleotides in length. Their secondary structure includes four short double-helical elements and three loops (D, anti-codon, and T loops). The record is from RNAcentral. Lineage: Eukaryota; Metazoa; Chordata; Lepidosauria; Squamata; Sphaerodactylidae.
UGAGAGUUGUGGCUCAGUGGUAGAGCAUCUGUUUUGUAUGCAAAAAGUCCCAGGUUCACUCCUCAGCAUCUCAA